Molecule: long non-coding RNA, 685 nt
Filed under: Oryctolagus cuniculus (rabbit)
Lineage: Eukaryota; Metazoa; Chordata; Mammalia; Lagomorpha; Leporidae
Description: lncRNA (ENSOCUG00000036606.1)
Source: RNAcentral
GUGGGCAGCCGCGGCGGGGGGCACCCCGCGACGCACACGCGCGCACUUCGGGCUCCAGGCCCCCCACCCCACCCCCGGGCAAAUGAUGCCGGCCGGGCGCAGGGGCGCGCGUUGGCGGCCGCAGGGCUGAGGCUGUUGGCUGGCAGUCAUUUAAUGAGCGCUUCUUCAGUGCCAGGCCCGGCGCUCGCGCUGGGCGUGCGUCCUCUCGGGUUUCUGGGCGCGGCCCGGUGGACUGACUGUCCUCACACAACCCGGAGGGAGGAACUGGGCCCGGAACCGGAGGCAGACGGCCGGCGACAGCUAUUAAAAAGGAACCAUUCUUCUGAAGAAGUAGAAAGGAGCAGACUGCGGAUCCAACCUGGUUCAGGUUCUCUCCAGCUUGUGGAAGGACAGGGAGGAGCAGAAAGAACCUGGAGAAAGGCAAGGGGAUCACCUGUUACUAUCUCAUCUGAAGCCCUUAUUCUUGGAAUUGUGCCUCUGUAACUUGGGGGAAUGCCUGUGGCUUACAACGGAUAUGCAGAGGAUCCCUACUGAAAAUUUCUCUCCAGCUUUCUCCAGAAACCUGGGCCUUCCUUUACCUUCCUAUCCUUCCAUGGCUAAAAUGAGUGUCUUUAUUCAGCCAUCUUGGAUCUGACAUAGCACUUUAAAAAAAAAAUAAAUAAAAGCAUUCACUAGUUGAAGAACA